This 465-nucleotide ribosomal RNA is filed under the name uncultured bacterium. Its description in RNAcentral is "partial 16S ribosomal RNA". It matches the Rfam family "Bacterial small subunit ribosomal RNA", at positions 338 to 795 of the family's 1533-position model. The record is from RNAcentral.
CCUACGGGAGGCAGCAGUAGGGAAUCUUCCACAAUGGGCGAAAGCCUGAUGGAGCAACGCCGCGUGGGUGAAGAAGGUCUUCGGAUCGUAAAACACUGUUGUUAGAGAAGACAGUGCGUGAGAGUAACUGUUCACGUUUCGACGGUAUCUAACCAGAAAGCCACGGCUAACUACGUGCCAGCAGCCGCGGUAAUACGUAGGUGGCAAGCGUUAUACGGAUUUAUUGGGCGUAAAGGGAACGCAGGCGGUCUUUUAAGUCUGAUGUGAAAGCCUUCGGCUUAACCGGAGUAGUGCAUUGGAAACUGGGAGACUUGAGUGCAGAAGAGGAGAGUGGAACUCCAUGUGUAGCGGUGAAAUGCGUAGAUAUAUGGAAGAACACCAGUGGCGAAAGCGGCUCUCUGGUCUGUAACUGACGCUGAGGUUCGAAAGCGUGGGUAGCAAACAGGAUUAGAUACCCCGGUAGUC